GAAACCGAGUCUUAAUUGGGCGUUAAGUUGCAGGGUAUAGACCCGAAACCCGGUGAUCUAGCCAUGGGCAGGUUGAAGGUUGGGUAACACUAACUGGAGGACCGAACCGACUAAUGUUGAAAAAUUAGCGGAUGACCUGUGGCUGGGGGUGAAAGGCCAAUCAAACCGGGAGAUAGCUGGUUCUCCCCGAAAGCUAUUUAGGUAGCGCCUCGUGAAUUCAUCUCCGGGGGUAGAGCACUGUUUCGGCUAGGGGGCCAUCCCGGCUUACCAACCCGAUGCAAACUGCGAAUACCGGAGAAUGUUAUCACGGGAGACACACGGCGGGUGCUAACGUCCGUCGUGAAGAGGGAAACAACCCAGACCGCCAGCUAAGGUCCCAAAGUCAUGGUUAAGUGGGAAACGAUGUGGGAAGGCCCAGACAGCCAGGAUGUUGGCUUAGAAGCAGCCAUCAUUUAAAGAAAGCGUAAUAGCUCACUGGUCGAGUCGGCCUGCGCGGAAGAUGUAACGGGGCUAAACCAUGCACCGAAGCUGCGGCAGCGACACUCAGGUGUUGUUGGGUAGGGGAGCGUUCUGUAAGCCUGUGAAGGUGUGUCGUGAGGC
RNAcentral lists this ribosomal RNA (600 nucleotides) under Salmonella enterica subsp. enterica serovar Bovismorbificans. Its description in RNAcentral is "partial 23S ribosomal RNA". It matches the Rfam family "Bacterial large subunit ribosomal RNA", at positions 673 to 1269 of the family's 2925-position model. Lineage: Bacteria; Pseudomonadati; Pseudomonadota; Gammaproteobacteria; Enterobacterales; Enterobacteriaceae. The record is from RNAcentral.